UACAGAGGAGCCAAGCGUUGUCCGGAUUGACUGGGCGUAAAGCGCACGCAGGCGGGUGCGCGCGUGGGGGGUGAAAUCUGGCCGCUUAACGGCCAGGCGCCAUCCCAUACGGCGCGUCUGGAGUGAUGCAGAGGUCGAUGGAAUUGCCGGUGUAGUGGUGAAAUGCGUAGAGAUCGGCAGGAACACCCAGGGGGAAACCAGUCGACUGGGCAUCUACUGACGCUGAGGUGCGAGAGCGUGGGGAGCGAACCGG
Molecule: ribosomal RNA, 253 nt
Filed under: uncultured bacterium
Lineage: Bacteria
Description: partial 16S ribosomal RNA
Rfam family: Bacterial small subunit ribosomal RNA
Source: RNAcentral